UCAAACUUGGUCAUUUAGAGGAAGUAAAAGUCGUAACAAGGUUUCCGUAGGUGAACCUGCGGAAGGAUCAUCACUGAUUCGGGGGGCAGCGCGGGAGACUGCGCUGUGCCCCAACCAAUCUUGUGUGAACCGUACCGCGAUCACGCGCGAGUGGUUGGUUGGUAGGGGGGUCAAAGCCCUUGCCGGCCGCCAUCACGCGAGCACAAUCUCUUGAUUAAUCUUGUCUAACAUUAUAAACAACACACACACACAACUUUUAACAAUGGAUCUCUUGGCUCUCGCAUCGAUGAAGAACGCAGC
Molecule: unclassified non-coding RNA, 300 nt
Filed under: uncultured fungus
Lineage: Eukaryota; Fungi
Description: partial contains small subunit ribosomal RNA, internal transcribed spacer 1, and 5.8S ribosomal RNA
Rfam family: Eukaryotic small subunit ribosomal RNA (bases 1-73)
Source: RNAcentral